CUGGAAAGCCUUCACCACAAAGCUGUCCCUCCUGGCAAACAGACCCAGGAAGCAGGAUGGCCAGUAACCUACUAAGAACACCCCGAGGAUGGAGUAGCCCAUCCCAGGACAGAAAACCCUUCCUGCAGAUGGUCCAUUCCCAUGAGUCCCAGCCGACCAACCAAACGUGGGCUCAGCGUGAGUUCCUGCUCCCCAAUGAAUCCUGGGAGCUGCCUGGCUUCACCACGCAACGCUACCACCAUUUGGCCCUGAAGCCACCACCCCGCACAAAAACUAAGUCCAAGGUGCAUCAGCAAGUCCUCUCCCCUUGCAAGGACGCAAGCCAGCACACCUGGGGCUUCCACACGUGGCUCGACGUGGGGCGAAUGCCCCCCACCUUUCCCACCCGGCCGGACGAGCCCUAUGAUAGCAAUGUCUGGCGCUGGCUGACAGACCCCAACGCCCAUCGGCGCCUCCCAGCAGAACCUCCCGUCCCCCCUCCCUCCCUGCUGGGCCCAAAUAGCUUUCUGGCCUUCAUCCACUCUACUCCUAUCUUCUUGGACGUGAAUAGGAAGAAGCAGGUCAUUUGUAAGACCAUGAAGGAGCUGAGGGAGGUGGAGAAACUCAAGCUGAGGAGUGAAGCAAGGGCACCCCCCCUCGAUAUCAAUGGCAACAUCCUGCCCCCAAAGAACUUCAAGAAGUACCAGCACUUUUCAGCUGGGGGAAGGUUCGAACCCCGUGGCCUCCAGCUCAUGCCCAACCCACUUCCCAAUGAUUUAGCCAAGGGUUGGCCCUGCCCGAACCCUCUGCCUCAUUACCAGGAGAAGGUGCAAAAGCUAGCCCUCUUGCCCAGCGCGCCCCUGAGCCGGGACCUUGUGAACAAUUACCAAAGCCUGCUACAGGAUCGGGUUGCCCUGCCCCUCUACUCUCUCUCCAAGGCAAAAUUUUUCAUAAGGAUGAGCAAGAGAAGACCUGGAUACACGUAGAAGAGCCUCCAGGCGGGUAGGGAGCACAGUGGGCACAGAGACCUCAGGCUCCUCUGUGCUCCUCCAAGGCCUGCCCCUUCAGCAAGAAGAUUUGGGGUGGCUAAAAGAUGCGAGGCAGAACAGAGCCUCACCAUGCCCCCAACCUCCAGCCACUUCUGUACCCCAGGCUCCUGGAGACAUUCCUGAAACUAAAUUGUUAUGUCUUCCUCGGAGGAUUCUCAUAACAGAGAGAAGUGGGGAGAAAACGUACCCUGC
Talpa occidentalis (Iberian mole) is the source of this 1220-nucleotide RNA transcript. It is a transcript of the gene named testis expressed 52, with no coding region annotated. The transcript has 4 exons. NCBI's taxonomy places the organism in Eukaryota, Metazoa, Chordata, Mammalia, Eulipotyphla, Talpidae. The record is from RefSeq and is a predicted model, not a curated record.